UCGGCCACCUUUAUCCCCGGGACGCCACGCUCCGAACCGGGUGAAGCCGCUGAUCUCUGAAGGUGAGAGCGACAGUUACAUCGUCACAGGUUCGCUUGUGACUUUAAAUGUCUGGUUUAAGUGUAGCUGAGCGUACAGUCAACGGAGGAGUCUAACCGGCAGUCGGCUGUGAGCAGCUCGGUGCCCGUCAUGGGUCUGCGGGGGUUCUGGCAGGGCAACAAAGUGUUGCUUGUGAUGGUACCGAGUCUGGGGCUGAUCCACUGGGGCUGGUACCACCUGAAGGAAAACCCACAGCUGUACAAAACCAAAGCGGAGUACACUCCCGAGCCCGGCAUCGCCGCUUACGUUCCCCCCCGCGCCGCCCGGCCCGCCGCCGCCGAGAGCAAGUAACCCACUUGGAGGUACUGAGCCGUGUUCCGCCCUGCAGCACCUGCAGCCGGCUUCCUGCCCGCCGUUAAUCAACCACCACCACGAGAGGCGUCGGUAUGAAGCCCCGCAGCUGGCUCAGGAGGAACUGGCUGUGGGCGGCCGGCGGCGCGUUCCUGAGCGUCCACGCCGCCACGUGGCUGAUGCAGAGCGCCGUGAGGGGCGCCGUGCGCUCCGAGGCCGCCAGGCAGAGGACGGCGGAGGACAGACCGGACUGACGCUCGGUCACUGUGUGUGUGUGUGUGUGUGUGUGUGUGUGUGUGUGUGUGUGUGUGUGUGUGUGUGUGUGUGUGUGUGUGUGUGUGUGUGUGUGUGUGUGUGUGUGUGUGUGUGUGUGUGUGUGUGUGUGUGUGUGUGUGUGUGUGUGUGUGACACACAGAGGAGGACACGCCCAACAAUGAACUCUCAGAUCAUGAAACAGAAUUUAAAAUUGUUUUGAAAAAAGCUGCUUUGUUGGACAGUUUAUUUGUGUGUGUUUUCUUCACCGUUUGAUUUCAUCGUUGCUUGAUGAGUGCGUUGUGAUUUACCGUAAAUUAUUCAAGAAACCAAUAAAAUUAUCAAAAGUGUCAAUCAAA
Long non-coding RNA from Cyclopterus lumpus (lumpfish), 1001 nucleotides. RefSeq lists it as uncharacterized. The record is from RefSeq and is a predicted model, not a curated record. NCBI's taxonomy places the organism in Eukaryota, Metazoa, Chordata, Actinopteri, Perciformes, Cyclopteridae. The transcript has 3 exons.